GGGGGUGUACUGGCUUCGACGUGGGUCGUGAAGCAAAGGGAGCAUACCGGGGCGCAUGUGGACCUCGAUAAAAACGUGCAUAUUACAAUUGCUAACAACAAUUAUCAAUUAGCAGCUUAGUUCUGUUAACGGAUUUGGCGUAGGUCGACGGUGUCGAUGCCUGAUCCGCCGAUAAUGCCGUCUCGGACUUCACUGGUUUCUCUGGAGUGAAGUCUUAAUAGUUAUCCAGGGGAUUGUUGUUCAGGAUUUUGUUUGUGGAGGCCUGAGCAACUUAAUUAAAACAUAAACUAAGUAUGUAGCGCCUUUCUGUGGAACUCUUGCGGACCCGGGUUCAAUUCCCGGCACCUCCACCA
Molecule: transfer-messenger RNA, 353 nt
Filed under: Pseudobdellovibrionaceae
Lineage: Bacteria; Pseudomonadati; Bdellovibrionota; Bdellovibrionia; Bdellovibrionales
Also listed under: 1 other name
Description: Pseudobdellovibrio qaytius Standard tmRNA
Rfam family: transfer-messenger RNA
About the family: Bacterial tmRNA, also known as 10Sa RNA or SsrA, is named for its dual tRNA and mRNA-like properties.
Source: RNAcentral